AGUGAACGCUGGCGGUAGGCCUAACACAUGCAAGUCGAACGGCAGCACAGUAAGAGCUUGCUCUUACGGGUGGCGAGUGGCGGACGGGUGAGGAAUACAUCGGAAUCUACUUUUUCGUGGGGGAUAACGUAGGGAAACUUACGCUAAUACCGCAUACGACCUACGGGUGAAAGCAGGGGAUCUUCGGACCUUGCGCGAUUGAAUGAGCCGAUGUCGGAUUAGCUAGUUGGCGGGGUAAAGGCCCACCAAGGGGACGAUCCGUAGCUCGUGUGAGUGGAUGGUAAGCCACACUGGAACGGAGACACGGUCCAGACUCCUACGGGAGGCAGCAGUGGGGAAUAUUGGACAAUGGGCGCAAGCCUGAUCCAGCCAUACCGCGUGGGUGAAGAAGGCCUUCGGGUUGUAAAGCCCUUUUGUUGGGAAAGAAAAGCAGCAGGUUAAUACCCCGCUGUUCUGACGGUACCCAAAGAAUAAGCACCGGCUAACUUCGUG
This 492-nucleotide ribosomal RNA is filed under the name uncultured bacterium. RNAcentral describes it as "partial 16S ribosomal RNA". It matches the Rfam family "Bacterial small subunit ribosomal RNA", at positions 29 to 507 of the family's 1533-position model. The record is from RNAcentral.